GUGAGGAAUAUUGGUCAAUGGGCGGGAGCCUGAACCAGCCAAGUCGCGUGAAGGAAGAAGGAUCUAUGGUUCGUAAACUUCUUUUGCAGGGGAAUAAAGUGCAGGACGUGUCCUGUUUUGUAUGUACCCUGAGAAUAAGGAUCGGCUAACUCCGUGCCAGCAGCCGCGGUAAUACGGAGGAUCCGAGCGUUAUCAGGAUUUAUUGGGUUUAAAGGGUGCGUAGGUAGUUUGAUAAGUCAGCGGUGAAAGUUUGCAGCUUAACUGUAAAAAUGCCGUUGAAACUGUCGGACUUGAGUGUAAAUGAGGUAGGCGGAAUGCGUGGUGUAGCGGUGAAAUGCAUAGAUAUCACGCAGAACUCCGAUUGCGAAGGCAGCUUACUAAGCUACAACUGACACUGAAGCACGAAAGCGUGGGGAUCAAACAGGAUUAGAUACCCGUGUAGUCC
RNAcentral lists this ribosomal RNA (445 nucleotides) under uncultured bacterium. Its description in RNAcentral is "partial 16S ribosomal RNA". It matches the Rfam family "Bacterial small subunit ribosomal RNA", at positions 354 to 796 of the family's 1533-position model. The record is from RNAcentral.